Molecule: transfer RNA, 87 nt
Filed under: Rosa chinensis
Lineage: Eukaryota; Viridiplantae; Streptophyta; Magnoliopsida; Rosales; Rosaceae
Description: tRNA RchiOBHm_Chr6g0259801
Rfam family: tRNA (bases 2-75)
About the family: Transfer RNA (tRNA) molecules are approximately 80 nucleotides in length. Their secondary structure includes four short double-helical elements and three loops (D, anti-codon, and T loops). Further hydrogen bonds mediate the characteristic L-shaped molecular structure. tRNAs have two regions of fundamental functional importance: the anti-codon, which is responsible for specific mRNA codon recognition, and the 3' end, to which the tRNAs corresponding amino acid is attached (by aminoacyl-tRNA synthetases). tRNAs cope with the degeneracy of the genetic code in two manners: having more than one tRNA (with a specific anti-codon) for a particular amino acid; and 'wobble' base-pairing, i.e. permitting non-standard base-pairing at the 3rd anti-codon position.
Source: RNAcentral
AUUUGUUGUAGUCUAGUUGGUUAGGAUAUUUGGUUCCCAUCCAAAAAGACCUGGGUUCAAGUCCCAGCCAUAAGUAAUAAAUGAUCG